UAAAUGCGAUACGUAAUGUGAUACGCAAGUUGUCGUGAAUCAUUGAAAUCUUGAACGCAAAUUGCGCUUUUAAGUGAAAGCUUGAAAGCAUACUUUUAUGAGGGUGGAAUAUUAAAUAAAUUAUUUUGCGAUAGCAAAGUAAUUUAUGAUAAGAUAUGGGGGUGAACGUUGAACGAUGUUCUCCCCUUAAAAGAAAACAUUUUAUAAUGGUCAUGUGACGAAUUAUAUUAUAUAUUAAUUCUGGUCACCUGAUCAUGAUUACAUGCCCCCCUAUUUACCCACCUCAUAAAAGUAUGAUAUACCCGCUGAACUUAA
RNAcentral lists this unclassified non-coding RNA (315 nucleotides) under uncultured fungus. RNAcentral's name for it is "sequence contains ITS1". The stretch from base 1 to 107 matches the Rfam family "5.8S ribosomal RNA", at positions 50 to 154 of the family's 154-position model. The record is from RNAcentral. Lineage: Eukaryota; Fungi.